GACUACACCUCCCCCACCCUCCUGCAGCAGGGUGGAUCCCACCUAGCGGGACUCCCCACCCACCCCUCCAGGCCUUCUCCACUCCGGACUCUGGCCACUUGCCACCGUUGUCGCCCGCCGCCGCUGCAGGGAGGGUGCACGGAGGGAGCAGACCGUCUCCGGAGCCCGCCGCCCUGGGGGCUGCAGUGAUGGGGCCGGGCUGAGGCACCUGCCGGCGGGGUAGCAGGGCAGUCGAGCACGGAGGGAGGGGCGGGCCUCCAGGGGACUUCAGCGGGAGCCGGGCCUGGGGCGGUGCCGCACUUGCACACGGAGUGUGGGGGGCCAGGCCUGGGACCAGGAGCUGGGGCCGGGCUUCGGCGCAGAGGCAGGAAGAGGAAGCGGCACCCGCUUCGGGGACCCAGCCGGCGGCCAGGCCACCGCGCCCACCCGGCCGAUGGCACCGUGUUCCUGCGCCUCGGGAGGGAGGAGGCUCUGCGCGGGACUGCAGGUUCUGCCCCGCAUCGGAGUGAUCGCUGAGCCUGACGCUCUCGAAGGCUGGGCCUGGGGCCCGCAAUCUACUCCGGAGGCUUUCCCACUGGGCAGGGUCGCUAGCAGGCAGGAGGAAGCAUUCCCAUGUGAAAGAUGAGCUCCCUAUAAAAGCAACGCUCUUAUCAUCGAGAACAGAAAGUUGAAGCCAAGAGAGAGCUCCACAAGCUGACCUUGUUAAACUAACCCUUAUCUUCUUAGUCGCUUCUUUACCCAAUUAACUACCCUAGCCGAAGCCCCUUUGCCUUAUUACAUUUUGCAACAGUGUUCGUUGUCCAAUUCAGUAUACAAGUGAGUGACUCUGGAUGCUUUUUGGGGUCUUCGUUUCCUUAUGAGGGCUUCUGUGCCAUGUAAAACUUGUAUUAAAUAAAUUUGUAUGCUUUUCUCCUGUUAAUCUGUCUAUAUCGAUUGAACUUUAGGGUCCAGUCAGAACCCAAAGAGGAUGGAGGUGGAGUUUUGGCUCCUCUACAGCUAUCUGAAUAAUCAAAAUUCAAGAUAUUCCAUGUUCUUUCUGAGUUUCUUUGAAAUUAAAAAUGCAGACAACCACUCAACUAAUACGUCAGCGAGAUACGUUUUCUGUCCUUAUUGCCUUACUGAUGAAAUUGCCUUUAUUCAUAAAAAAUAAAUGUGGGAGUCUUGUUUAUUUAUUUCUAAUGACAUUAACUUGACAUUAACCUUGGUGCUCUUGGGAACCAUAAAUGGGCCCUGUACUACUUGUUACAGAGUAUAAAUUCCCAGAACUACAAGUACAUCAUAUUCCUCAAGU
This 1291-nucleotide long non-coding RNA is filed under the name Homo sapiens (human). Its description in RNAcentral is "HSALNT0299441". The record is from RNAcentral. Lineage: Eukaryota; Metazoa; Chordata; Mammalia; Primates; Hominidae.